UCACUUACAUAGAGUACUAAUUUGAUUAAGGAAAAAUCAUGUUCAUUCAUAAUUUUCAUUUUAAAAGUGUAUUCAUUCCUUCUGCAAAUCCAUACUGUCAUGCCUAUUCCCCAAUAUCGUCAACGCGGAUAGUUCGUUAGUCGAAAAUACUGAAUAAUUAAACAAACCAAAUGGCAUCACUGGUGGUUCUUUUUCCACUCCGCUAAAUUGUCAUCUCAAACAAAAACAAAUGGAUCAUACAACUGCUAUGAAUACAUUCGACUCGUUUGCUUCCAUCAAUCGGUAAGUGAGAAAGAUGAUUUCUCCCAUCACCACAGUGCGGAUUUCCACUUCUAUCACAGCAGCCAACAACAUCCGUUUUCCUGCAUCAGUAACCUCCAACCCCUGUUGGCAAUGCCGGGGGACAGCAUCAACAGCAGCAGCAGCAGAAUUUGACCAUGGUAUGGUAUUGCGAAGAACUUUCCCCAUUAGAGGUUCCGUGCUUCGCGCACAUUCAAAAAUCCUCUUCAGACACGAAAACUCAACGACAAGGAGGUAUUUAUCAACUUGCUCAGCUGAAUUACCACCCCGGAGGAACCCGAAUGCACUGAUUCCGUUGUAUAGUAGAAUGAAAAUAGGCGAGGUAAGCGAACGUAAUCGCAUGAUAUUUUAAUGUUCGCAUUUUUAUCCGGAUCAUACAACUGCUAUGAAUACAUCCGACUCAAUCAAUCGGCGAAUGAGAAAGAUGAUUUCCCUUAUCACCACAUUGCUUAUUUCCACUUCUGUCACACCAGCCAACAGCGUCAGCUUUCCCGCAGCAGUAUCCUUUAAGUCCAGGGUGCUAUUCCGGGGAACAGCAUCAACAGCAACCGCAGCAGGACCUGGCCAUCGAUAGUAUUUCGAGCAAUUUUCCCCAUCGGAGAUCCCGUGCUUCACGCACAUUGAAGAAUCCUUCUCAGCCACAUAUCUGUGUCAUCAAGGGCAAGGAGGUAUUCAUCAAUGUACUCAGUCGGAUUUGAAUCGUCAAUCCAGACAACCCAGAUGCACCGAUUCCAUUAUAUACCUUAUUUUUAUUAUACAUGGAUUUUUAUUAUUUUUGACGUAGGACUACGUCUUUCAUUUCUAUACCGGGGUGUAAAAUCAAAGUUUCGAAAACGAAAGCGUUACGCCGGAGACCGAGAUUUUGAGCGUUAAUAGCUCCUAAACAAUUGAACGAAAUGGUAUGAUAA
Toxorhynchites rutilus septentrionalis is the source of this 1208-nucleotide long non-coding RNA. RefSeq lists it as uncharacterized. The transcript is spliced from 3 exons. Lineage: Eukaryota; Metazoa; Arthropoda; Insecta; Diptera; Culicidae. The record is from RefSeq and is a predicted model, not a curated record.